This 1225-nucleotide long non-coding RNA is filed under the name Homo sapiens (human). Its description in RNAcentral is "long intergenic non-protein coding RNA 2612". The record is from RNAcentral. Lineage: Eukaryota; Metazoa; Chordata; Mammalia; Primates; Hominidae.
AGGACCUGCUGAACCUGGGGCCCUAUAGGAGAGCACUGAUGGCCCACCCCUGAUUGUGGCCCUGGUCUUCAUGUCUGCAUCAGCCUCAGCCAUCUCAAGACCACAACAGGAACAUAGCCAAGUCAGAGAAGGAAGACCAAAAGCACCAGGGCCCUUCAUAUUAUUAAGCUGCUAAAUUAACUAAUCUUGGAAACUUCUAGACUCUACAAUUCUUGUUGUAUGAGGUUUAACAAGUUCAAGAGAGAAGAUAUUGGCCAAAUACAACACAGAGGCUAAACACAACACCUAUGUUGAUUGUUUGGUGCAUAAGAAUUGAGAUGAUGGAAAGAGGUCACUGUGAGCUUCAGGAAUAGCUUGAGGCUAACUGAUAAAACAGUGGAUUGACAAUUAUUCUCUGGACUUUUUGGUAACCAAGAACUUCUAGCAACUAACCCUGGCAUGACCACCAGAAUCUGCAGGGCUGAGAGAAGAAAGAAAGGCAAAAGUGGAUGAAUGCAGCUGAAGAUGCUGUGGAACUCCUAUCACAUUCCAAGUGCUGUGUUGAUAUCUGGAGAUAUAGACAAGAUCGAAGCAGAUGCAGUCUUUCACAUGAAUAUUUGAAUCAGGCAGUAUGUUCCCCAAAUUAGCAAAGUAUCUCCCAGAUUUUUUCUUUGAUGAUAUAUUUGAAAUCCUAAUGCUGAAAGUUAAAUUAUCAGGGUUUUAAAACUAGAAGCAGUCAUUAUCAGAAUUUUAUAUACUAUUUAUUUUUAAGAACGUAAUUUGACUGUUUAAGUCUUAUUAUAAUUUUAAGUGAAGUACUUUGGGCAGUCAUAAAUAAAGUAAUGGGCAGGUAUUUAGUAUUCAUAUUGUGUGGAUUCAUAUCCAUACUCUGCCACUCAGUAUCUCUGGGAUUUUGAUGAAUGAUCAAACUCUCUGAGCCUCAGUUUUCUAAUCUGUAAAGCAGAAAUGAUAAUGGUAUGUAGUGAUAAUUAAACAAUUUACUAGUUGUAAGUGCUUAGAACAGUUCCUGGAAUAGAGAAAAUUUGCAGAGAGAUUUUUAUUGUUUACAAUUUAGUUAAUGGAAUGGCUUCAAUAAUACAGUAAAAUUAAGAUAUUCAAACAAGCAGGAUGCAGGUGAUGGGUAUUGGCCUCAGCUUUAGAGACCAGAGGUUAAAUCUCAGUGCUGCCUGCCACAAAACGAUCCAUGUAAGUCAAUAAACAAUGCUUUUUAAAAUAUUAUUAUAAA